RNAcentral lists this ribosomal RNA (1041 nucleotides) under Pholiota squarrosa. RNAcentral describes it as "eukaryotic LSU rRNA". It matches the Rfam family "Eukaryotic large subunit ribosomal RNA", at positions 69 to 1096 of the family's 3401-position model. Lineage: Eukaryota; Fungi; Basidiomycota; Agaricomycetes; Agaricales; Strophariaceae. The record is from RNAcentral.
CAAGGAUUCCCCUAGUAACUGCGAGUGAAGCGGGAAAAGCUCAAAUUUAAAAUCUGGCGGUCUUUGGCCGUCCGAGUUGUAAUCUAGAGAAGUGUUAUCCGCGCUGGACCGUGUACAAGUCUCCUGGAAUGGAGCGUCAUAGAGGGUGAGAAUCCCGUCUUUGACACGGACUGCCAGGGCUUUGUGAUGCGCUCUCAAAGAGUCGAGUUGUUUGGGAAUGCAGCUCAAAAUGGGUGGUAAAUUCCAUCUAAAGCUAAAUAUUGGCGAGAGACCGAUAGCGAACAAGUACCGUGAGGGAAAGAUGAAAAGAACUUUGGAAAGAGAGUUAAACAGUACGUGAAAUUGCUGAAAGGGAAACGCUUGAAGUCAGUCGCGUUGUCUGGGGAUCAACCUUGCUUUUGCUGGGCGUACUUUCCAGAUGACGGGUCAGCAUCAAUUUUGACCGUUGGAUAAAGUCUGGAGGAAUGUGGCAUCUUCGGAUGUGUUAUAGCCUCUAGUUGCAUACAACGGUUGGGAUUGAGGAACUCAGCACGCCGCAAGGCCGGGUACUUGUACCACGUUCGUGCUUAGGAUGCUGGCAUAAUGGCUUUAAUCGACCCGUCUUGAAACACGGACCAAGGAGUCUAACAUGCCUGCGAGUAUUUGGGUGGAAAACCCGAGUGCGUAAUGAAAGUGAAAGUUGAGAUCCUUGUCAUGGGGAGCAUCGACGCCCGGACCAGACCUUUUGUGACGGAUCUGCGGUAGAGCAUGUAUGUUGGGACCCGAAAGAUGGUGAACUAUGCCUGAAUAGGGUGAAGCCAGAGGAAACUCUGGUGGAGGCUCGUAGCGAUUCUGACGUGCAAAUCGAUCGUCAAAUUUGGGUAUAGGGGCGAAAGACUAAUCGAACCAUCUAGUAGCUGGUUCCUGCCGAAGUUUCCCUCAGGAUAGCAGAAACUCAUAUCAGAUUUAUGUGGUAAAGCGAAUGAUUAGAGGCCUUGGGGUUGAAACAACCUUAACCUAUUCUCAAACUUUAAAUAUGUAAGAACAAGCCGUCUCUUGAGU